UGCAAGUCGAGCGAACAGAAGGGAGCUUGCUCCCGGAUGUUAGCGGCGGACGGGUGAGUAACACGUGGGUAACCUGCCUGUAAGACUGGGAUAACUCCGGGAAACCGGAGCUAAUACCGGAUAGUUCCUUGAACCGCAUGGUUCAAGGAUGAAAGACGGUUUCGGCUGUCACUUACAGAUGGACCCGCGGCGCAUUAGCUAGUUGGUGGGGUAAUGGCUCACCAAGGCGACGAUGCGUAGCCGACCUGAGAGGGUGAUCGGCCACACUGGGACUGAGACACGGCCCAGACUCCUACGGGAGGCAGCAGUAGGGAAUCUUCCGCAAUGGACGAAAGUCUGACGGAGCAACGCCGCGUGAGUGAUGAAGGUUUUCGGAUCGUAAAGCUCUGUUGUUAGGGAAGAACAAGUGCGAGAGUAACUGCUCGCACCUUGACGGUACCUAACCAGAAAGCCACGGCUAACUACGUGCCAGCAGCCGCGGUAAUACGUAGGUGGCAAGCGUUGUCCGGAAUUAUUGGGCGUAAAGGGCUCGCAGGCGGUUUCUUAAGUCUGAUGUGAAAGCCCCCGGCUCAACCGGGGAGGGUCAUUGGAAACUGGGAAACUUGAGUGCAGAAGAGGAGAGUGGAAUUCCACGUGUAGCGGUGAAAUGCGUAGAGAUGUGGAGGAACACCAGUGGCGAAGGCGACUCUCUGGUCUGUAACUGACGCUGAGGAGCGAAAGCGUGGGGAGCGAACAGGAUUAGAUACCCUGGUAGUCCACGCCGUAAACGAUGAGUGCUAAGUGUUAGGGGGUUUCCGCCCCUUAGUGCUGCAGCUAACGCAUUAAGCACUCCGCCUGGGGAGUACGGUCGCAAGACUGAAACUCAAAGGAAUUGACGGGGGCCCGCACAAGCGGUGGAGCAUGUGGUUUAAUUCGAAGCAACGCGAAGAACCUUACCAGGUCUUGACAUCCUCUGACAACCCUAGAGAUAGGGCUUUCCCUUCGGGGACAGAGUGACAGGUGGUGCAUGGUUGUCGUCAGCUCGUGUCGUGAGAUGUUGGGUUAAGUCCCGCAACGAGCGCAACCCUUGAUCUUAGUUGCCAGCAUUUAGUUGGGCACUCUAAAGGUGACUGCCGGUGACAAACCGGAGGAA
RNAcentral lists this ribosomal RNA (1132 nucleotides) under Bacillus sp. 991B6_12ER2A. RNAcentral's name for it is "bacterial SSU rRNA". It matches the Rfam family "Bacterial small subunit ribosomal RNA", at positions 56 to 1171 of the family's 1533-position model. The record is from RNAcentral. Lineage: Bacteria; Bacillati; Bacillota; Bacilli; Caryophanales; Bacillaceae.